GCAAUGUGCAGCUGCGACAUCGAAAUCAAUGGUGCUUGUUGUUAAGGGCAGCUCCAGCGUACGUUUUUUCAGGGUGCCAAGGGAAUCUUUUGGACUGGCACCCUGGCUAAACGGUGGAGCGCAGGGUGCUAGCCCUAAAAGCUUAGACGAGGUGCUCGUUUUUGCACCCGGUUCCAACGUUAAAAUAUUAUUCUUCGACAGCGGCAAGAUCUUUAUUGCACAUGAUCGUUGGAAGAGUAGUAGCCGUUGCACAAGUCUGCUGAUGCUUCUACAAAUAGCAGCCAGCUAUAUCUCAACAUUUGACCUAGCCAUCUCAUACAGAAGAAAAAUUACAGAAAAAAACUAUCAUGGAUCAUACGCAUGGCUUCAAUCCUUCAAGCUCCUCACCUUCACAGCAGCCAAACACAAGCAACCAAUCCACCCAAAGGCCCUCACCAUCACAGUUUGCCACCAACUUUCCAUCUCAAUUCAGCCAACAAUUCCGGUCCCAAUUCCCUCCCAACUUUAACCCUUUCAAUCCUUACGGCUUCCCUCCAAAUUUCAACCCUUUCAAUCUAGGCAAUCCGUGUGAAGGCAGCUUCAGCCUUUCUCCCAAUGGAGGAAUGGUUGGAAGAGGAGCGGCAGUUGUUCGGUCUUCAUCGCUAGUUGAGUCCAUGCCUUUUGUUCUUGGUGCUGGCAGAUCAAGUCCAGCCUCCCCAAUGUCUGUAGCACCACAAAUCAAUGGAGACUUCAGCAAUCAAGAGUGGAGUGAUAAUAGUGAUGUUGAAGAAAAGAAAGGAGGGCGUAUGAAUUGGACUAAAGAAGAGAAUCUGAAGCUAAUCAGUUCAUGGCUACAGCAUUCCAAAGAUUCAGCCAAUGGGAAUUCACAGAAAGGUGAAAAUUUCUGGAAAAACAUAGUGGCAGAAUUCAAUAGCAAUGUUGCAGAAGAUCGAAGAAGAAAAGUUGCACAAUGCAAAACCCACUGGACAAAGACCAACAGGCUGGUAGUGCACUUCAACGGAUGUUGGAUUAGAAUGAUGAGACGUCGUGGCAGUGGAGAGUCUGAUGACCAAGUUAUGGCUAAUGCACAUGCAGUGUGCAAAGAGGAAUCAAAGAUUUGGGAGUCAAGAGAGGUGGUGUUUGGUUGGCACAAAUGUAACGUAAUCUGAUUACUGAAGGUAACGAAUUCCAUUACAUAUGUUUGGUUGUGGCGGUUUGUAAUCAAUUUACACUGUAAUCUAAUCCCUUACCUAAAUAACAUAUAUACAAGCUUGUUACCCCUCCUCCCCCACUGUAAUCAGAUACAACACCCACACCGUAAUCUGAUUACGUUACCAGAGUGCAACCAAACAAAGAGGGUAAUCACCCAUUCCACCACUAAAUACACUGUAAUCUGAUUCCCUUUACGUUUACGUUACCUUAGCGCGAACCAAACACUAUCUUAGUUUAAUUUGUAAUACUAUAAAAUAAUAUGUGUCCAUGUUUUAGCAUUUGGAACUUUUUUAGUUGUAAGUUUAUUUUUAUUAUGCCCAUGCACUAGCAGUGAGAAUUAAUGUAAAAUCUAUUACCUAUCCAGGGAGAAGCCAUCAGGAAUUUAUUCUCAAUCAUGUGUUUCACGAGAAAUCGCUUGGUUAAGCCUGAAACUUGCAUAUCUAUAUUAUGCUAUUCAUCACGAAAUUGACAAGCAGUUUGCUCCUUGCCUCCUGCGCUCCCUCAUGCCUGCUAGUCCUAGGCCAAUCAAUCAUCAACGGAAACAAAGAAAAAAAAGAUUAUCCACGGCAAGUGGUAUACGGGAUUCAGUGCCUACUGGACGGAGAUGCAGAUCCUCAUGCCGACGAAUCCAUUCAUCCUGCAGCGCCAAGACGGGUUGAGGGGGAGCGCAUCGCGGCCUCCGCGACGGCCUGUCGCUCUGCUCUGGCCGUCGAUCCGGUUUCGUCCCGAUCUGCUCAAACAGAUCAUCCCAAUCACCUGCGCCUCCUUCUACUCGCCCCAAUCAACUGCGCCUCCUUCUAAUGGCAAGGAGAAGCCCUUGCCUGGUAUCACGCAGUGGGGGAGAUGGCGAGGGAGAAGAUCGGCGAAUGGAUCGGAAGGGGAGGAGAGGAAGAACCCGCAUCGCCAUCCCCGCGGGAAGGAACGGACGGGUGGGGGAAGGCUUUCCGUGGAGACC
RNAcentral lists this long non-coding RNA (2146 nucleotides) under Setaria viridis. RNAcentral describes it as "long non-coding RNA (SVIR_LNC001221)". The record is from RNAcentral. Lineage: Eukaryota; Viridiplantae; Streptophyta; Magnoliopsida; Poales; Poaceae.